Long non-coding RNA from Oncorhynchus tshawytscha (Chinook salmon), 672 nucleotides. RefSeq lists it as uncharacterized. The record is from RefSeq and is a predicted model, not a curated record. The transcript is spliced from 4 exons. Lineage: Eukaryota; Metazoa; Chordata; Actinopteri; Salmoniformes; Salmonidae.
UACUACGCCCUAGGUCAGUGAUACUCCACCACUACUACGCCCUAGGUCAGUGAUACUCCACCACUACUACUAUGCCCUAGGUCAGUGAUACUCCACCACUACUACGCCCUAGGUCAGUGAUACUCCACCACUACUACGCCCUAGGUCAGUGAUACUCCACCACUACUACGUCCUAGGUCAGUGAUACUCCACCACUACUCCGUCCUAGGUCAGUGAUACUCCACCACUACUCCGUCCUAGGUCAGUGAUACUCCACCACUACUCCGUCCUAGGUCAGUGAUACUCCACCACUACUCCGUCCUAGGUCAGUGAUACUCCACCACUACUCCGUCCUAGGUCAGUGAUACUCCACCACUACUCCGUCCUAGGUCAGUGAUACUCCACCACUACUCCGUCCUAGGUCAGUGAUACUCCACCACUACUCCGUCCUAGGUCAGUGAUACUCCACCACUACUCCGUCCUAGGUCAGUGAUACUCCACCACUACUCCGUCCUAGGUCAGUGAUACUCCACCACUACUCCGUCCUAGGUCAGUGAUACUCCACCACUACUCCGUCCUAGGUCAGUGAUACUCCACCACUACUCCGUCCUAGGUCAGUGAUACUCCACCACUACUCCGUCCUAGGUCAGUGAUACUCCACCACUACUCCGUCCUAGGUCAGUGAUACUCCAC